Molecule: non-coding RNA, 107 nt
Organism: Acanthosepion pharaonis
Lineage: Eukaryota; Metazoa; Mollusca; Cephalopoda; Sepiida; Sepiidae
Source: the annotation of a GenBank genome assembly
UACGGCCAUAUCCUGCUGAAACAUCGGCUCGCGUACGAUCUCCAAAGUUAAGCAACGUUUAGCCUAAUCAGAACCUCGAUGGAUGUCCGCUUGGGAAUACCACGUGA